CCUGAGUCCUCAGGUGGGGGAUGGCUCACCGAGGCAUGUGAUGUAUGGCUGGUCUGUGGAGUUCACCUGCAGACAUGUCUUAAACUACCAAAUAAGAUCAUUUGGAAAUUGUCAUUUGGUGGAACAGGGACAGAAUCUGCAUCAAAGGACUCAACACCAGUAUACCACCAUAAGUUUUCAACAAUAUAGGAGUGGCAUCAUGAAAGUUCCAGGUGAAUGAUCACCACUCGUGAGGAGCACCAUGGGAGUGGUGGUGGUGACAGCUCCCCAAGCCUGGGCUCAUUCAGCCAGGUGCUGGCUGGCCUGGUGGGCACAACGGCCGAAGUGGCCG
Molecule: long non-coding RNA, 331 nt
Organism: Pollicipes pollicipes
Lineage: Eukaryota; Metazoa; Arthropoda; Thecostraca; Pollicipedomorpha; Pollicipedidae
Exons: 3
Source: RefSeq, a predicted model, not a curated record